UGCAUCUGCCGGGAAUCGAACCUGGGCCGCCCGCGUGGCAGGCGAGUAUUCUACCACUGAACCACC
This 66-nucleotide transfer RNA is filed under the name Cordylochernes scorpioides. Its description in RNAcentral is "tRNA-Gly". The record is from RNAcentral. Lineage: Eukaryota; Metazoa; Arthropoda; Arachnida; Pseudoscorpiones; Chernetidae.